This 253-nucleotide ribosomal RNA is filed under the name uncultured bacterium. RNAcentral's name for it is "partial 16S ribosomal RNA". It matches the Rfam family "Bacterial small subunit ribosomal RNA", at positions 524 to 776 of the family's 1533-position model. The record is from RNAcentral.
UACAGAGGUGGCAAGCGUUGUUCGGAAUUACUGGGCGUAAAGCGCGUGUAGGCGGCUCUUCAAGUCAGGCGUGAAAGCCCCGGGCUCAACUCGGGAACUGCGCUUGUUACUGUCGAGCUAGAGUGUGGAAGGGGCGAUUGGAAUUCCGUGUGUAGCGGUGAAAUGCGUAGAUAUACGGAGGAACACCAGAGGCGAAGGCGGAUCGCUGGGCCAACACUGACGCUGAGACGCGAAAGCUAGGGUAGCAAACGGG